RNAcentral lists this ribosomal RNA (497 nucleotides) under uncultured bacterium. Its description in RNAcentral is "partial 16S ribosomal RNA". It matches the Rfam family "Bacterial small subunit ribosomal RNA", at positions 28 to 507 of the family's 1533-position model. The record is from RNAcentral.
GAUGAACGCUGGCGGCGUGCCUAAUACAUGCAAGUCGAGCGAACGGACGAGAAGCUUGCUUCUCUGAUGUUAGCGGCGGACGGGUGAGUAACACGUGGAUAACCUACCUAUAAGACUGGGAUAACUUCGGGAAACCGGAGCUAAUACCGGAUGAUAUUUUGAACCGCAUGGUUCAAAAGUGAAAGACGGUCUUGCUGUCACUUAUAGAUGGAUCCGCGCUGCAUUAGCUAGUUGGUAAGGUAACGGCUUACCAAGGCAACGAUGCAUAGCCGACCUGAGAGGGUGAUCGGCCACACUGGAACUGAGACACGGUCCAGACUCCUACGGGAGGCAGCAGUAGGGAAUCUUCCGCAAUGGGCGAAAGCUUGACGGAGCAACGCCGCGUGAGUGAUGAAGGUCUUCGGAUCGUAAAACUCUGUUAUUAGGGAAGAACAAAUGUGUAAGUAACUGUGCACAUCUUGACGGUACCUAAUCAGAAAGCCACGGCUAACUACGUG